ACUACCUCGCCGCCGCCUCUCCGCCGAGUUCAGCGUGCCAGUCCACCCCAGCGCCCGCCGCGCCACAUCUCCGACUGCCCCGCCGCUUCUCCGACGAGUGCCGGUCCGCCUCAGCACCCGCCGCGCCACCUCUCUGACUGCCCCGCCGCCUCUUCGACGACUUCAGCGAGCCGGUAUACCUCAGCGUGCAAGAUGCUGGCAUACAUGGCAUCAAGGAUUGCACUUCUCCAGUACUUUCUGUUUGUUAGUUUCCCCAGAAACCUUUACCAUCACAGACUACACCAGAUCAGAAAUGAUCAUACCACUGGAGGAGCGCAAGAAGUUAAUGGCAAGCAGGUUUGCUUCUUAUAAAGCUCUGCAUGUCGGGCUUAGGAUCACUAUUUUGGGGAACUGUAACUGGAGUUCUAUCAGACAUUGAGCCAAAGCCUUCUUGGAUCGAAUAUGUCUACAUAUAUGCUGUUAUCUGUUUCGUGCUGCUGCUGAAUGGAGCAGUUGCCUCUUCAUUUCCGGAUACUGCUCUACUUGCGCCAUUUAUGGCUGGACUGGGAUCUUGGCAGUCGCUUAUAUUGUUCUUGGGAACGUUUCACGUCGCUUCAUUGAAGUAUAAUAACUAUCUCAAUGAGUGCCUGUAUUCGAUGAUUACUUCAAGCACAUUUGUCACAGUCUACUGGGCAUUGAGUUGCCAAGACCCUCUGCUACUCAAUGUUCUUGUCAAGCUCGUUUUGUGGGUUAUUGGUCUGCUGGUUUAUGUUAUCUGCUUUAUUCUCUAUCUGAUACUGAGAGUGGUCUCCAGUGGUUUGUGCUGGCUGCUCAAAACCUCCUGGAAAUUUGUUUGGUCCAAUGAAGACUCACUGAAGAAUCGCCUCGUGGCUUGUUGCAGCGAACCAAGUGGGUAUCAGCUUCUAAACCAUCGUGUAUAGUCAUCUGCAUUACUACACUAAUAGGAUACACCAGAUGUGAUAUGACAAGUUACAACCUUACUUGAAGAUAAUUAGAUGAAAAGUUUACUGCAAGGGAUGCUUCUACCGACAACGAACUGCACUAAUAAAUAGCUGAUGUAGGAGUCAGAUUCAAUCAAGAGGAUAGAUAGAAUGAUAGAUUGAUCUUACAGCACUGUGAUAGGUUAAACAGAAGUUGUCUUCUGUUUUUUUUUUUUGAGGGAAAUUAUUUGUCUUCUGUUUCACUCAUACGGUGUCACUUCUACAUUCGAUUUAUGGGGAACCAUUGA
Molecule: long non-coding RNA, 1228 nt
Organism: Panicum virgatum (switchgrass)
Lineage: Eukaryota; Viridiplantae; Streptophyta; Magnoliopsida; Poales; Poaceae
Exons: 7
Source: RefSeq, a predicted model, not a curated record